This 2712-nucleotide ribosomal RNA is filed under the name Klebsiella pneumoniae. RNAcentral describes it as "bacterial LSU rRNA". It matches the Rfam family "Bacterial large subunit ribosomal RNA". Lineage: Bacteria; Pseudomonadati; Pseudomonadota; Gammaproteobacteria; Enterobacterales; Enterobacteriaceae. The record is from RNAcentral.
CCGGCGAUGUCCGAAUGGGGAAACCCAGUGCAAUUCGUUGCACUAUCGUUAACUGAAUACAUAGGUUAACGAGGCGAACCGGGGGAACUGAAACAUCUAAGUACCCCGAGGAAAAGAAAUCAACCGAGAUUCCCCCAGUAGCGGCGAGCGAACGGGGAGCAGCCCAGAGUCUGAAUCAGCUUGUGUGUUAGUGGAACGGUCUGGAAAGUCCGACGGUACAGGGUGAUAGUCCCGUACACCAAAAUGCACAGGCUGUGAACUCGAAGAGUAGGGCGGGACACGUGGUAUCCUGUCUGAAUAUGGGGGGACCAUCCUCCAAGGCUAAAUACUCCUGACUGACCGAUAGUGAACCAGUACCGUGAGGGAAAGGCGAAAAGAACCCCGGCGAGGGGAGUGAAAAAGAACCUGAAACCGUGUACGUACAAGCAGUGGGAGCACCUUCGGGUGUGACUGCGUACCUUUUGUAUAAUGGGUCAGCGACUUAUAUUCUGUAGCAAGGUUAACCGUAUAGGGGAGCCGCAGGGAAACCGAGUCUUAACUGGGCGUUAAGUUGCAGGGUAUAGACCCGAAACCCGGUGAUCUAGCCAUGGGCAGGUUGAAGGUUGGGUAACACUAACUGGAGGACCGAACCGACUAAUGUUGAAAAAUUAGCGGAUGACUUGUGGCUGGGGGUGAAAGGCCAAUCAAACCGGGAGAUAGCUGGUUCUCCCCGAAAGCUAUUUAGGUAGCGCCUCGUGAAUUCAUCUUCGGGGGUAGAGCACUGUUUCGGCUAGGGGGUCAUCCCGACUUACCAACCCGAUGCAAACUACGAAUACCGAAGAAUGUUAUCACGGGAGACACACGGCGGGUGCUAACGUCCGUCGUGAAGAGGGAAACAACCCAGACCGCCAGCUAAGGUCCCAAAGUCAUGGUUAAGUGGGAAACGAUGUGGGAAGGCACAGACAGCCAGGAUGUUGGCUUAGAAGCAGCCAUCAUUUAAAGAAAGCGUAAUAGCUCACUGGUCGAGUCGGCCUGCGCGGAAGAUGUAACGGGGCUAAACCAUGCACCGAAGCUGCGGCAGCGACACUAUGUGUUGUUGGGUAGGGGAGCGUUCUGUAAGCCUGCGAAGGUGUGCUGUGAGGCAUGCUGGAGGUAUCAGAAGUGCGAAUGCUGACAUAAGUAACGAUAAAGCGGGUGAAAAGCCCGCUCGCCGGAAGACCAAGGGUUCCUGUCCAACGUUAAUCGGGGCAGGGUGAGUCGACCCCUAAGGCGAGGCCGAAAGGCGUAGUCGAUGGGAAACAGGUUAAUAUUCCUGUACUUGGUGUUACUGCGAAGGGGGGACGGAGAAGGCUAUGUUAGCCGGGCGACGGUUGUCCCGGUUUAAGCAUGUAGGCUGGUUAUCCAGGCAAAUCCGGAUAAUCAAGGCUGAGGUGUGAUGACGAGGCACUACGGUGCUGAAGUAACAAAUGCCCUGCUUCCAGGAAAAGCCUCUAAGCAUCAGGUAACAUCAAAUCGUACCCCAAACCGACACAGGUGGUCAGGUAGAGAAUACCAAGGCGCUUGAGAGAACUCGGGUGAAGGAACUAGGCAAAAUGGUGCCGUAACUUCGGGAGAAGGCACGCUGGUGUGUAGGUGAAGUCCCUGCGGAUGGAGCUGAGACCAGUCGAAGAUACCAGCUGGCUGCAACUGUUUAUUAAAAACACAGCACUGUGCAAACACGAAAGUGGACGUAUACGGUGUGACGCCUGCCCGGUGCCGGAAGGUUAAUUGAUGGGGUUAUCCGUAAGGAGAAGCUCUUGAUCGAAGCCCCGGUAAACGGCGGCCGUAACUAUAACGGUCCUAAGGUAGCGAAAUUCCUUGUCGGGUAAGUUCCGACCUGCACGAAUGGCGUAAUGAUGGCCAGGCUGUCUCCACCCGAGACUCAGUGAAAUUGAACUCGCUGUGAAGAUGCAGUGUACCCGCGGCAAGACGGAAAGACCCCGUGAACCUUUACUAUAGCUUGACACUGAACAUUGAGCCUUGAUGUGUAGGAUAGGUGGGAGGCUUUGAAGCGUGGACGCCAGUCUGCGUGGAGCCGACCUUGAAAUACCACCCUUUAAUGUUUGAUGUUCUAACGUUGGCCCCUGACCGGGGUUGCGGACAGUGUCUGGUGGGUAGUUUGACUGGGGCGGUCUCCUCCCAAAGCGUAACGGAGGAGCACGAAGGUUAGCUAAUCCUGGUCGGACAUCAGGAGGUUAGUGCAAUGGCAUAAGCUAGCUUGACUGCGAGCGUGACGGCGCGAGCAGGUGCGAAAGCAGGUCAUAGUGAUCCGGUGGUUCUGAAUGGAAGGGCCAUCGCUCAACGGAUAAAAGGUACUCCGGGGAUAACAGGCUGAUACCGCCCAAGAGUUCAUAUCGACGGCGGUGUUUGGCACCUCGAUGUCGGCUCAUCACAUCCUGGGGCUGAAGUAGGUCCCAAGGGUAUGGCUGUUCGCCAUUUAAAGUGGUACGCGAGCUGGGUUUAGAACGUCGUGAGACAGUUCGGUCCCUAUCUGCCGUGGGCGCUGGAGAAUUGAGGGGGGCUGCUCCUAGUACGAGAGGACCGGAGUGGACGCAUCACUGGUGUUCGGGUUGUCAUGCCAAUGGCACUGCCCGGUAGCUAAAUGCGGAAGAGAUAAGUGCUGAAAGCAUCUAAGCACGAAACUUGCCCCGAGAUGAGUUCUCCCUGAGACUUUAAGUCUCCUGAAGGAACGUU